This 58-nucleotide transfer RNA is filed under the name Planctomycetales bacterium. RNAcentral's name for it is "tRNA-Trp". It matches the Rfam family "tRNA", at positions 9 to 63 of the family's 71-position model. Rfam says of the family: Transfer RNA (tRNA) molecules are approximately 80 nucleotides in length. The record is from RNAcentral. Lineage: Bacteria; Pseudomonadati; Planctomycetota; Planctomycetia; Planctomycetales.
AGCUCAAUUGGUAGAGCACUGGUUUCCAAAACCAGCGGUUGCGGGUUCGAGUCCCUCC